Molecule: ribosomal RNA, 232 nt
Filed under: uncultured bacterium
Lineage: Bacteria
Description: partial 16S ribosomal RNA
Rfam family: Bacterial small subunit ribosomal RNA
Source: RNAcentral
CGUAGGUAAUCUAUCCUUAUAUUUGGGAUAACAUCGGGAAACUGGUGCUAAUACCGAAUGGUCUUCAUUGCUAUAGGGCGAUGGAGUAAAGGUGGCCUCUUCAUGAAAGCUACCGUGUAGGGAUGAGCCUGCGUACCAUUAGCUAGUAGGUGGGGUAAUGGCCCACCUAGGCUACGAUGGUUAGCGGGUCUGAGAGGAUGAUCCGCCACACUGGAACUGGAACACGGACCAG